Molecule: non-coding RNA, 766 nt
Organism: Punica granatum (pomegranate)
Lineage: Eukaryota; Viridiplantae; Streptophyta; Magnoliopsida; Myrtales; Lythraceae
Source: RefSeq, a predicted model, not a curated record
CUCUCUCUCUCUCUCUCUAGGGAUGGCGAAGUACUUUCUCUCUCCUUCCCGUCCCUCUCUCUGUAUUUAUAGCGACGCACACUUGCAGAGAUGGUGAUUUUUGUAAAGAGGAAAAGCGGACCGGAAUUCGCGAUGAUAAGUCCAUCGGCGCAGAAUCUCCAGCUGACAGCUGUCCCCCGGCCCCUCCACUCACUUCACCGCUCGGACACGAUCCGAUGCGGCCGUGUCCACGGUGAGAUCUAAGCCUUUCUGCCCUCUGACUCCGAUCCGGAGAUUAAGUUGGCAUGACGGGAUCGGAUCGUACGGUCUGGGAGGGGGGCUCACGUAAGAGUUACUGCACCAGAGGUCUGCUCGGACAGCGAUUCCUGUGCCCUCUCAGAUCCCCGAGGGAAAGGACAAUUCUCUUUAAGGACCGGCUCUGGAUUGGAUUCGACCCCAGAUUUCCGCAAAAUUACGGAGCCUGCCAUCGCGUCGCAUCACGGAGACGUGCCCCUGGACGUAAUAAAGCACCAACGUGGACCUAACGACACGAUAUUAUCAUUUUAUCGCGAUAAACGCUGAGCGUGUCGUGAUAAAUUUUUCUAUCAAAAUAUCGUCAUUUUGUUUUUAUAAGCUUUCCAUUUCUCGAGUCAAAGUGGGGGAAUCUUCUCCUCUCGUUCUUUUUUUACAUUUCAGAUAUUCGAGAAAUCGCGCAUAUCCGUCCAAAUUAAGAGGUCUGACUUUAAUUCCCGUCAAUGAAAUUACCAUUCCUUUAUUUCUCUUCUUC